AGAGGACUAAGGCAGCUCAGUGACCUAACCAUGCUGGUUCCCCACCUGAGAGUGGAAACUGAAGCCAUACAGUGAGGGAAACUGAGGCAGAAGAUGGGCCAGAAGCCAGAUUGGAUUUCCCUCCACUACUUCCCCAAUUGCAGAACAGUAGAUCACCCUGUAUUCCUCUGUAGAGACAGUUACUGCCACCCAUCCAGGAAGAUAAAGCUGCCUCAUCUCCUGUGAUGGGGUGCACAUGACCUUUGCAGCUUUCUACAGGAGGCCCCACUGUCCACCUACACCCUGCCCCUGGAAGAAUCAAUGUUGGAGGAAUAGCAAAGUGAAGAUGGGUCUUCUACACCUGCCUAGAAAAGUAUCUCUGGAGAAGCCAUAUUGGAAAUUACAGACACCUGGUCCUGGAAAGGCUAGUGGCAGCCAGUCAGAACCCAGCAGGCUCAGCUAAAAGUUGCUGUAGCUCAGUUGGUGGCUGUGACCACAAGAGUAGAGGGUGAGCCACUGAAAACCUGCCAAGUGAGGUCAACAACCUAAAAGAGUUCCAGGAGUGGGGAAAAGUCUGAAAUACUGCACCCAGCUGCAAGGAGGCACUCAAGAGAGCGGUGAAAAACCAAGACCAGAACCCCAUUAUGUCAGAGAUGGUUUCUCCCCAAAAAGAGCUCACAAUUUAAAGAGAGAAGACAAAAGAUUGGCUAAGAAGACAGGAGGGGAGAACUGGGACUGUCUAAGCAAGGAGACUGAGG
Molecule: long non-coding RNA, 737 nt
Organism: Mauremys reevesii (Reeves's turtle)
Lineage: Eukaryota; Metazoa; Chordata; Testudines; Geoemydidae
Exons: 5
Source: RefSeq, a predicted model, not a curated record